Amaranthus tricolor (Joseph's coat) is the source of this 2112-nucleotide RNA transcript. RefSeq lists it as uncharacterized. NCBI's taxonomy places the organism in Eukaryota, Viridiplantae, Streptophyta, Magnoliopsida, Caryophyllales, Amaranthaceae. The record is from RefSeq and is a predicted model, not a curated record. The transcript has 3 exons.
ACCAUUCUUAUAUCCAUUCUUAUAUUUUUUAUAUAAAAACGAGUUACAUUGCAUUUAUAUUUUUUUCUGACAGUUAUUGUUUUUUGGUAAAAAAAUACCAGAUUUUUUAAAAAACAAAAGUAACACGGUUUUUGUGCAAAAGUAACACUUUUUCUGGAAAAAGGUAACACGUAUUUUGGUUUUCACGGUUCGCAUAUAACCGUAGUUUGCACCUGAACGCGACCAUAUAUAUAUAUAUAUAUUUAAAUUUUUUUAUGAUAUCUUAGAUUUAUUUACUAGAUGACCAUAGAAGACUUAAAUUGAUUACUCCCAAAAUGAGGUCCGACAUUUAGAUUUCCCUGACGCGUAUACAACGACACGGAUGAAUACUACACUAUAAUACAGAUUCAUCGAUGACACGACUUAAAUAGAGGAGAGAGAGAAAGAUAAGUGAGAAGGAUGGGUUUUUACAUAAUCUUUUGGUUAUUAAAAACACCAUUGAAGAAGUUUCAAGCAAGGUUUCGUGAUAGACAUGAAAAAUGAUGAGGAAGAAGACACAGGAAGAAACUGAUUUUUGAUCAAAUGCGUUGUAUUGUAGAGGAGAGCACUUGUCUGUGGGCUUUUGGUAGUCCCAUGUAGCUCAGAAGGAAUCCGAGAGAUUUGCGUUGAAUAAGUACCCAUUAAGGAAUCUGACUUUUGGUAUAAAGCAGAUUACCUUUGAUAAUUCGGUGGCCAGUCGUGUCAUUCUAAAUCACUUGAGUUAUAGAUUAAUUAGACCCAAAAAUGGGUUCGACUUGUUUGACAUUGUGAGCCCUAUAUUAUAAUUCGAUUCAUGGAUGACGCGGAUUACACAUGUCCCGACCUAAUAUACUUGAAAUAAUUUCUUGAGUUUUUUUAUAUCGAUCUUUAAACAUCGUUACCUUUUUAUUUUAUCGUCAUCCCCAUUGAAAUUAUGGAGACCCAGUCGAUAGCCUACUACAUGGCUAUUAUCGGCUCUAACUUGCUGGCGGAUAAGACCAGAACCGACAUGCGUCUUCACCCGAUACUUACCGUCAACGUCGAUCAAGAUGAGAUCGCCUGGGGUGCGGUGACGCUGGCCUACAUGUAUCGCCAACUAGGAAUGGCAUUUAGGGCUGGUUACAAGACCAUUGCUGGUUGCCUCACAUUGCUCCAGACAUUGAUUUACGAGUACUUUCUGCCUUCCGCCUUCAUCCUCGCCAAGUAGAUGUGCCUAAUAAGACUAGGGCGAAGAUGUGGUCCACGCCCAAGCCAGGUCGUGAGAUCAACAGGCUGAGGUCCUGCAGGUGUAUACUAGACUGCAUGGCGGAGACUCAGGUGGAAUGGAUUCCGUAUAUGACUUCUCCAAGGGCAUUGCUAAAUGAGCACCCACGCACCACCUACAUCGGGGGUAUUACUUGCUUUGAUAUCAUCGAGGUGUAUUUGCCGGAGAGGACAGUGCGACAGGUCGGCUUUGUGCAUGCUGUACGACCGGCACACGGUACUUAUUCUGUAACCUUUGCUUCUCCGCCUAUGAACACGGAGGCAUGGAGUAAGUUCCCCUAUAGUGCCCGCCUAGGUGAUCAGGCACUUCAUCGGGCAUCUGUUCCAUCAGAGGUUGAUCCUAGUUACGUUGACUAGUUCAGAGUGUGCUCCCACCCAUACAUCCUCCCCGGCGAAGGACCGAGUGCCGCUUUUGGUCCAGCUGAAAGUAGAUCGGAAUACGUUGCAUGCCGGUUGCACUAAGCUGUCGUAUGUGCUCCCGAAUAUCUACAUUCAUCAUAUUUGCCUUUACAAGACCAUCUCUGUGCACUAAAAACGGGUGGCUAUGUAUACCUUUUUCCCCAGGACAAACCCUCACCGUCCAAGGUCUUUCUCCUGGUUUACGACUACUUGCUACAAUCAUAAAUUUACACUGACACGUUCUACUUUUAGAACCAGGUCGGGCAGCAUUAUCUAGGUUAUGCAAAUUACCCCUAAUAUUACCUCAACGGUGACAUCUUAAAUACAAACUAACUUUAGAACAUCCUUCUUUUUGUUUAUAAGAAGCACGUGUAAAUUGAAAACCAAUUAUUAUUGCUAUUUCAUCUGCCCAACUAUGUAAUUCAUCCAUAGAAUCAAAUUCCCUAUCCGUAA